GAUGAUGUUGAGGUUGCUGUGCAGAAUGUGUUGCAAAACUGAAGUCUAACAGGGAAAUGUUCUGCAUCUUCCAAGGCUGUGCAUAGGUCAAUCCAUACUGACCAUGAGAAAAAGAAAAGCAUUGCUAUUAGGAAGCUUCAAUUGUGUUUUCAUCAUUCAUUGCUGUGGAGACUGAAUCAGAUGGAGCAGGUGAUCAAGUCAGGAAUCCAGUGCUGCCAUUGCUGAUUUCAGGUUUUACUGAUACACAUGUCAUUAGGAAGCUGAAG
This is a long non-coding RNA of Melopsittacus undulatus (budgerigar), 266 nucleotides long. RefSeq lists it as uncharacterized. Lineage: Eukaryota; Metazoa; Chordata; Aves; Psittaciformes; Psittaculidae. The record is from RefSeq and is a predicted model, not a curated record. The transcript is spliced from 3 exons.